Molecule: ribosomal RNA, 342 nt
Filed under: Mantidactylus sp. 48 MV-2009
Lineage: Eukaryota; Metazoa; Chordata; Amphibia; Anura; Mantellidae
Description: partial 16S ribosomal RNA
Rfam family: Bacterial large subunit ribosomal RNA
Source: RNAcentral
ACCCCAUGGAGCUUUAAACCCCACUACACCCCUAUUUACAACAACUACUUAACCAAUUGGACACUGUAUGCUUGGUUUUAGGUUGGGGCGACCACGGAGUAAAAAAUAACCUCCACGAUAAAUGGGCUUACCCCCUUAUCUAAGAGCCACACCUCUAAGAAUUAAAAUAUUAAUAUAAUAUGAUCCUUUCUUGAUCAACGGACCAAGUUACCCUGGGGAUAACAGCGCAAUCCAUUUCAAGAGCCCCUAUCGACAAAUGGGUUUACGACCUCGAUGUUGGAUCAGGAUGUCCAGGUGGUGUAGCAGCUACCAACGGUUCGUUUGUUCAACGAUUAAAAUCCU